RNAcentral lists this ribosomal RNA (99 nucleotides) under uncultured bacterium. RNAcentral's name for it is "partial 16S ribosomal RNA". It matches the Rfam family "Bacterial small subunit ribosomal RNA", at positions 1386 to 1482 of the family's 1533-position model. The record is from RNAcentral.
CACACCGCCCGUCACAUCACGAAAGUGGGUUGUACUAGAAGUCUUCAGGCUAACCCGCAAGGGGGGCAGAGGCCCAAGGUAUGACUCAUGAUUGGGGUG